Molecule: non-coding RNA, 117 nt
Organism: Gorilla gorilla gorilla (western lowland gorilla)
Lineage: Eukaryota; Metazoa; Chordata; Mammalia; Primates; Hominidae
Rfam family: Metazoan signal recognition particle RNA
About the family: The signal recognition particle (SRP) is a universally conserved ribonucleoprotein. It is involved in the co-translational targeting of proteins to membranes. The eukaryotic SRP consists of a 300-nucleotide 7S RNA and six proteins: SRPs 72, 68, 54, 19, 14, and 9.
Source: Rfam
GCUGGGCGUGGUGGCUCAUGCCUGUAAUCCCAGCACUUUGGGAGGCCGAGGCGGGAGGAUCACCUGAGGUCAGGAGUUCCAGACCAGCCUGGCCAACAUGGUGAAACCCUGUCUCUA